This 513-nucleotide ribosomal RNA is filed under the name uncultured bacterium. Its description in RNAcentral is "partial 16S ribosomal RNA". It matches the Rfam family "Bacterial small subunit ribosomal RNA", at positions 28 to 507 of the family's 1533-position model. The record is from RNAcentral.
GACGAACGCUGGCGGCGUGCUUAACACAUGCAAGUCGAACGAAAAGAGGGAAAGAGCUUGCUCUUUCCGGAAUUGAGUGGCAAACGGGUGAGUAACACGUAAACAACCUGCCUUCAGGAUGGGGACAACAGACGGAAACGACUGCUAAUACCGAAUAAGUUCCAAGGGCCGCAUGGCCCAUGGAAGAAAAGGUGGCCUCUACCUGUAAGCUAUCGCCUGAAGAGGGGUUUGCGUCUGAUUAGCUGGUUGGAGGGGUAACGGCCCACCAAGGCGACGAUCAGUAGCCGGUCUGAGAGGAUGGACGGCCACACUGGAAUUGAGACACGGUCCAGACUCCUACGGGAGGCAGCAGUGGGGAAUCUUCCGCAAUAGGCGAAAGCCUGACGGAGCAACGCCGCGUGAGUGAUGACGGCCUUCGGGUUGUAAAACUCUGUGAUCCGGGACGAAAAGGCAGAGUGCGAAGAACAAACUGCAUUGACGGUACCGGAAAAGCAAGCCACGGCUAACUACGUG